UUGAAAGGGAAACGAUUGAAGUCAGUCAUGCCAGUGGGAAUCAACUUAGGGGAAACUCUGGGUGCACUUCUUCGCUUGGCAGGUCAACGUCGAUUUUGAAUGUCAUAAAAUAAUUGGGGGAAGGUAGCUCCUUCGGGAGUGUUAUAGCCCUUGAUAGAUGUGGUGUUUGGGGUCGAGGAUUGCAACGGAUACCCUUCGGGGCUAGCCGCCUGAUCUCUAAUUGGUGUUGGGUUACGGAUAGCAUGCUGACCGUGAUCUAAUUACUGGUUAAAAGGUUAGAGUGUGCAUAAAUUCGUUAAGGAUGUUGACGUA
RNAcentral lists this ribosomal RNA (312 nucleotides) under uncultured Glomeromycotina. RNAcentral describes it as "LSU rRNA". The record is from RNAcentral. Lineage: Eukaryota; Fungi; Glomeromycota.